Molecule: ribosomal RNA, 491 nt
Filed under: uncultured bacterium
Lineage: Bacteria
Description: partial 16S ribosomal RNA
Rfam family: Bacterial small subunit ribosomal RNA
Source: RNAcentral
AGUGAACGCUGGCGGUAGACCUAACACAUGCAAGUCGAACGGCAGCACAGUAAGAGCUUGCUCUUACGGGUGGCGAGUGGCGGACGGGUGAGGAAUACAUCGGAAUCUACUUUUUCGUGGGGGAUAACGUAGGGAGACUUACGCUAAUACCGCAUACGACCUACGGGUGAAAGCAGGGGAUCUUCGGACCUUGCGCGAUUGAAUGAGCCGAUGUCGGAUUAGCUAGUUGGCGGGGUAAAGGCCCACCAAGGCGACGAUCCGUAGCUGGUCUGAGAGGAUGAUCAGCCACACUGGAACUGAGACACGGUCCAGACUCCUACGGGAGGCAGCAGUGGGGAAUAUUGGACAAUGGGCGCAAGCCUGAUCCAGCCAUACCGCGUGGGUGAAGAAGGCCUUCGGGUUGUAAAGCCCUUUUGUUGGGAAAGAAAAGCAGCAGGUUAAUACCCCGCUGUUCUGACGGUACCCAAAGAAUAAGCACCGGCUAACUGCGG